RNAcentral lists this ribosomal RNA (518 nucleotides) under uncultured soil bacterium. Its description in RNAcentral is "bacterial SSU rRNA". It matches the Rfam family "Bacterial small subunit ribosomal RNA", at positions 348 to 859 of the family's 1533-position model. The record is from RNAcentral.
GCAGCAGUGGGGAAUUUUGGACAAUGGGCGCAAGCCUGAUCCAGCCAUGCCGCGUGCGGGAAGAAGGCCUUCGGGUUGUAAACCGCUUUUGUCAGGGAAGAAAAGGUUCUGGCUAAUACCUGGGACUCAUGACGGUACCUGAAGAAUAAGCACCGGCUAACUACGUGCCAGCAGCCGCGGUAAUACGUAGGGUGCAAGCGUUAAUCGGAAUUACUGGGCGUAAAGCGUGCGCAGGCGGUUAUGCAAGACAGAGGUGAAAUCCCCGGGCUCAACCUGGGAACUGCCUUUGUGACUGCAUGGCUAGAGUACGGUAGAGGGGGAUGGAAUUCCGCGUGUAGCAGUGAAAUGCGUAGAUAUGCGGAGGAACACCGAUGGCGAAGGCAAUCCCCUGGACCUGUACUGACGCUCAUGCACGAAAGCGUGGGGAGCAAACAGGAUUAGAUACCCUGGUAGUCCACGCCCUAAACGAUGUCAACUGGUUGUUGGGAGGGUUUCUUCUCAGUAACGUAGCUAACGCG